GCCAGGCAUGGUGGUGCAUUCCCGUAAUCCCACCAGCUUGGGAGGCUAAGACAGGAGGAUCGCAAGUUCAAAGCCAGCUUCAGUGACAGUGAGGUGCUAAACAACUCAGUGAGACCCUGUCUCUA
RNAcentral lists this small RNA (125 nucleotides) under Marmota monax (woodchuck). The record is from RNAcentral. Lineage: Eukaryota; Metazoa; Chordata; Mammalia; Rodentia; Sciuridae.